Molecule: long non-coding RNA, 1963 nt
Organism: Mus musculus (house mouse)
Lineage: Eukaryota; Metazoa; Chordata; Mammalia; Rodentia; Muridae
Product: predicted gene, 38464
Exons: 4
Source: RefSeq, a predicted model, not a curated record
AACUGAGGCCCAGAGAUGAGGCCUGCUGAUGCGGAAGCAUGGGCUAUUUGGCCCUGAGCCUUCUGAUGUGAGCUAGAGGAGAAACAGAGACUUCUGCGUGACCAAGGGGCCCUGCCCCCAAUUUUGGGCCCCCAGUCUUCCCUGGAGCCCCAGGGGCCUUCCAAGGUGGCCUCUUAAUCACUGCUGGUUAAUUAAGGAGGUUGGACAACUCCACCUGGCCCUUGUGGGCCUGUCUGGGACAGGACUGCAACCUGGCUGUACUCCACUGUGGGGCCCUGCUCCUCAGCUGAGCCCCACCUGUGUGGGUCUCUGGGUGCCCACGUGAGGAGCCUGGGGUCCUUGGUGGGUGAGGGGCUGCGGUGGGAGGCAGGGAUGCCACCACUAUGGGUACUCCCCGAAUCAGGCACAGCGUGGGCGGCUGUGGCUGGGCUAAUGAGGCUCCACACUGCCAAGGAGAACUGGAGGAGUUGAGACAGGUUCUGGGUAAGGGUCACAACAGAUGAAGAGGCAAAUGCCCACCUGUGGGGUGUGUGUGACAGAAGCAAACCACGAACUGUGCCGGACGGACGAUGAAGCCCCUUUCUGUCACAACAUGAGCCCCUGGUCUCAGGAGUUAACCGCCUGCAGUGCUGGGCACGGUGCCUGGCAUGGAGGAGGACAGGAACGGAGGAAGAACAUCCAGGUUGGUGAUGUCCUGCUUGCCGCCUGGGAUGCUGGGAAGAGGAAGGGCCUGGGCUCCUGCCUUCAGCGGACACCUGUGUCUUGGGCCCCUAGGCCCCUGUACAGAUGGGAAACCUGACUCAGCUGAGUUAGCCUGAUACGCAGGUGUGGAGACGGCCCAGGAACACCACAUGCUCAGAAACAGGCUCAGAGGCAGCAGCACACAGCUCUGUGAGUCUUGGAGGACACUGCCUGGUUGUGCCAGCUUCAGGGGCAUCAUGCCCACGAGAGCCUACCAGCACUCCCAAACCCUGGAGAGUGCCACCUGUGUGCCUUCUUGGAUCAGACCCACCUGCACCAUCUGUCUUGUGUACAUAUAUAUUGCACUACCUGGACCUCAGUGAUUGGACCUGGGAAAUGGGAUGAAGUGGUGGGUCCAAGGUUGUUUUUCUGUGGGUUUCCCAGCCACCUUGAGGACUAAAGAGGGGGUUCAGCCUGCUGGAGUACCUGGUGCUCACAUGGAAUGAGGACCCCUCUCUGACUCUGCUUCUGGCCCUAGCUGGCACGAGCAUGGCACCAGGCCAUGCUACUCUGAGGCAGCUCCCAUGCCAGCCUCAAGGGCCCCUCCAGGUGACAUGGCAGGGAUGUGCCUGGGGCAGGAGUGCCCACGUGCACCAUGACAGUGGGGUCUGGGCUUUGCUCCUGCUCACAUCUUCCCUUGGGUAGAAGGAGUCAACCAGAGUCCCUGGGCAUUUAGGACCAGUUCAGGGUAGCCUUGGUGUUUUUGAUGUAAAAAGGAGAGGAGAGGUCAGGCAAGAUGGACCAGUAUUGAGGGAUGGACCUAUAGCCAGGGACUGCAUAGAAAAAACACUCGGUGCCCUCCAGGUCUUCUGUAGAGGCUGUGGCUCUAGGCCAUACAUCGGCUCCUUCACUGACUGCCCAUGGGUCAGACUGAGAUUAUGUCACAGAAAACACACAGGAGACCCCUUCGUCCAUGCUCCUGGCAGUGUGGGAGAGAUUCCAGGACAGGAGGAAGCAGCCCAGUUUGACUCUGCACAGGCUGCAGGGAGACACAUGUUGUAGGGGUUCAUGGUUCUGAUGUUCUCCACGGAGAAGCUAGGCAGCCUGUUGGAUUUGAUGGAAGACUGUGCACGGUGAAGGGACAAGCGGAAACAAAGGUCCUGGGGCAGGAAAGAGCUGGAGGUCCAAGGAGCAGUGGGUAGAUGCUGUACCAGGACAGCAAAACGAAGGGGGCUGGAGGGAGAGAGUGGCUCUUGUCUUCAUCUGAAUUUCACUUCAAGGA